RNAcentral lists this ribosomal RNA (494 nucleotides) under uncultured bacterium. Its description in RNAcentral is "bacterial SSU rRNA". It matches the Rfam family "Bacterial small subunit ribosomal RNA", at positions 903 to 1397 of the family's 1533-position model. The record is from RNAcentral.
AAAUGAAUAGACGGGGGCCCGCACAAGCGGUGGAACAUGUGGUUUAAUUCGAUGCUACGCGAAGAACCUUACCUACCCUUGAAAUCCCAGGAAUCUUUUAGAGAUAGAAGAGUGCCUUCGGGAACCUGGAGACAGGUGCUGCAUGGCUGUCGUCAGCUCGUGUCGUGAGAUGUUGGGUUGAGUCCCGUAACGAGCGCAACCCUUAUCUUUAGUUGCCAACAGUUCGGCUGGGAACUCUAAAGAAACUGCCGGCGUUAAGCCGGAGGAAGGAGAGGACGAGGUCAAGUCAUCAUGGCCCUUAUGGGUAGGGCAACACACGUGUUACAAUGGUAAGUACAGAGGGUUGCCAAGUCGCGAGGCGGAGCUAAUCUCAGAAAACUUAUCGUAGUCCGGAUUGAAGUCUGCAACUCGACUUCAUGAAGUUGGAAUCGCUAGUAAUCGCGAAUCAGAAUGUCGCGGUGAAUACGUUCUCGGGCCUUGUACACACCGCCCGU